GGGUCAGUAGGUUGGUCGUGCCACCGGUACGUACUGGUCCCACUGAUUCCUCCUUCCUGAAGAACCGUAAUGCCAUUAAUUUGGUGUUGCGGGGAAACAGGACUGUUACUUUGAAAAAAUUAGAGUGUUUAAAGCAAGCUAACGCUUGAAUACAUUAGCAUGGAAUAAUGAAAUAGGGCGAUCGAUCCUAUUUUGUUGGUUUCUAGGAUUGACGUA
This 216-nucleotide ribosomal RNA is filed under the name Glomeromycotina sp. RNAcentral's name for it is "partial small subunit ribosomal RNA". The stretch from base 44 to 216 matches the Rfam family "Eukaryotic small subunit ribosomal RNA", at positions 690 to 864 of the family's 1831-position model. The record is from RNAcentral. Lineage: Eukaryota; Fungi; Glomeromycota.